CUUCGCCUUCGAGGUGGCGCGGCUUCGGCGGAUGCAGGGAGGACUGUCCUGUACUCCUCUCUCCGGCGCCGGCGACGGCGACGGCGAGGAGAGGUAUUUCCGGGCAGGGGCGCUGGAGUAGGGAGCGGGGAAGCGGCGGGGGUUCUGGCCUCCUGCGGCAGUUGGCCACGAACAGAGAAACCCAGAACGCCAGCGAAGCCAAGAUGGUCUUCUCUCAACGUUCUUCGCUCCUUGUUCUUUGUUUUUUUU
RNAcentral lists this ribosomal RNA (249 nucleotides) under Triticum aestivum (bread wheat). RNAcentral's name for it is "partial small subunit ribosomal RNA". Lineage: Eukaryota; Viridiplantae; Streptophyta; Magnoliopsida; Poales; Poaceae. The record is from RNAcentral.